RNAcentral lists this ribosomal RNA (405 nucleotides) under uncultured Eubacteriales bacterium. RNAcentral's name for it is "uncultured Clostridiales bacterium partial 16S ribosomal RNA". It matches the Rfam family "Bacterial small subunit ribosomal RNA", at positions 355 to 774 of the family's 1533-position model. Lineage: Bacteria; Bacillati; Bacillota; Clostridia; Eubacteriales. The record is from RNAcentral.
UGGGGAAUAUUGCGCAAUGGGGGAAACCCUGACGCAGCAACGCCGCGUGAAGGAUGAAGGUCUUCGGAUUGUAAACUUCUAUCGAUGGGGACGAAGAAAAUGACGGUACCCAAGUAAGAAGCCCCGGCUAACUACGUGCCAGCAGCCGCGGUAAUACGUAGGGGGCAAGCGUUAUCCGGAAUUACUGGGUGUAAAGGGUGAGUAGGCGGCUUUGCAAGCCAUGUGUGGAAUUCCAAGGCUCAACUUUGGAAGUGCACAAGGAACUGCAAAGCUCGAGUGCGGGAGAGGUAAGCGGAAUUCCUAGUGUAGCGGUGAAAUGCGUAGAUAUUAGGAAGAACACCAGUGGCGAAGGCGGCUUACUGGACCGCAACUGACGCUGAAUCACGAAAGCGUGGGGAGCAAACA